This 229-nucleotide long non-coding RNA is filed under the name Lathyrus oleraceus (garden pea). RNAcentral describes it as "Pisum sativum (pea) long non-coding RNA (PSAT_LNC018188)". Lineage: Eukaryota; Viridiplantae; Streptophyta; Magnoliopsida; Fabales; Fabaceae. The record is from RNAcentral.
UUCCCCACAAUUCUCCCCUCACGCUACCUUGAUUCUCUCACUCUCUAAAAACCUCACAAAGCACUCUCUCUCGUCUCGCUCACUUUUUCUGAAAAAAGAAAGCAAACACAAAACCCUCCUUCGCUUCUCCCUCUCACACCGUCAUCCACACCUCCAUCCACCCUCACAUCCACGCCGACCACCACCACAAACCAUUCCGCCGGAAACAAUCAAAACCAAAACCCCAAAA